CUUUCUAUUCACGCGUUGGAGCAAGCAGCAGGGUAUUCACAUAAUUAGGGGUUAGGAAUUGGGGAUUAGUCGGCGAUUUCGAGCAAACCACGGAGUUUCAUCUCUUCCAACGAUUGAAGUGUUGUCUGACUGCCGUAAAGAGUUGACCGGGAUGUUCAGAAAUAGUUGAAUAGUAUUGUGAAGCGAGGCUGGCAUAAACCAAUAAAGUAAAGCUGUGCUAUGGAUAUAUUAAAGCCCGUCAGAAACUAAGCAGAAGGGAACAUUUCAGUAGAUAGUACUAUUAGAAAUCUGAGUUAGACACCGGAGUUAAGGCAAGUAUUCCCAUUCUUCUCUUUUAUUUAAAGAGCAAUUUUUAUUAUCAUUCUCUUAUAUUUAAAAAGCAAGUUCCCGGUUUCUUCUAUUUAUUCAAGAAUGAUUUUGGGACUUUUUGGAAUUCUUUAUUGUUAAAUGUAUUUCAUGGUUUACUUUGUCCCAGUGGCAAUUGGUUAUUUUGUUCAAUAUUCUCUUGAUAUUAUAUCUUUUAAGAAUGUUGAGCAUACCAAAUAUAUAUGAUUUCAAACUUGGUUAACAGUAGAAUGUGGUAUACAGAGGAUUACUCUGCAGGUUUUGAUUUUAAAAGGUUGGAUACCUUUUGGAUUUAGUAACAUGAAAAUGAUGUUAAAAGACUUCUAAUAUAGAAGUAUUAUUUAUAAAACUGUUAACCAAUCGGAAUUCAUUUUCUAGACCGUGGUGCCGGUCGUGAGUUACAUGUUACAUUAUUUAAGGCCAAUGUGUGCCUUGGGCCCCUUUGUUUUUGGGACAGGUAGCACCCUGUGCCUGGUGCUUGAUGCUCGGCUGAUCACCGUGUCAGCACAACGCGCCGUAAGCGAAUGAUUUUUCACAGAAUAGUUUUAAAUGAUUAUAUUCUCUUGUAAUUGCCAUACUUUUAUUAAAUUAUAACUGUUGUUCUCCAUUGUUGAAAAUACCUGACAAGUUACAUACAAAAUCUGAUAUAUUUCAUUCUCCUUUUAUUUAUUACAAUUGUUCUUUUUAUAUAUUUGCUGAGCAUUAUUGCUCACCCUUGCUAUUCCUUUUAACCCUUUCAGCUAGGGAUUAAGAUGAUUCGUUUGUCAAGCUGCGCGUAGGAGUAAUGCUAGGCGAGAUUGCCAGGGAGAUGUCUUCAAGAAUAGUUCUGGUUAAAAUUGAUUUAUUCCAGUUUAGUUGUAUAUCAGAUUUAUUUAUUUGGUUAUCAGUUACUCUUCUUAUCGAAGUUUAGCUGAUAAUGUUGUCUAAGUUGUCAUGAGAUUUUAAGGUUUUGGUUUCUGAUUUCGAUGCUGUAACCUAUUAGCGAUCCUGUUUUUAGGGGGUCAAAGUGAUUUUGAUUUAAAUCUCUUUUAAAUUGUGCAGAUAUUUUAUAUAUAUGUUUUACCUUUUUCCGCAAAUACAAG
Molecule: long non-coding RNA, 1427 nt
Organism: Daucus carota subsp. sativus
Lineage: Eukaryota; Viridiplantae; Streptophyta; Magnoliopsida; Apiales; Apiaceae
Exons: 2
Source: RefSeq, a predicted model, not a curated record